RNAcentral lists this transfer RNA (65 nucleotides) under Idiocerini gen. 'Neoamritatus' sp. RNAcentral's name for it is "tRNA-Phe". The record is from RNAcentral. Lineage: Eukaryota; Metazoa; Arthropoda; Insecta; Hemiptera; Cicadellidae.
GCUUGUGUAGCUUAAUUAUUAGAGUUUAAUAUUGAAGUUAUUAAGGUAAAUUUAUUUCGUAGGCG